UUUCUCUACGAAAAAGUG
This 18-nucleotide small nuclear RNA is filed under the name Arabidopsis thaliana (thale cress). RNAcentral's name for it is "snRNA_03701". Lineage: Eukaryota; Viridiplantae; Streptophyta; Magnoliopsida; Brassicales; Brassicaceae. The record is from RNAcentral.